This 525-nucleotide ribosomal RNA is filed under the name Pseudomonas aeruginosa. Its description in RNAcentral is "bacterial SSU rRNA". It matches the Rfam family "Bacterial small subunit ribosomal RNA", at positions 51 to 572 of the family's 1533-position model. Lineage: Bacteria; Pseudomonadati; Pseudomonadota; Gammaproteobacteria; Pseudomonadales; Pseudomonadaceae. The record is from RNAcentral.
ACACAUGCAAGUCGAGCGGAUGAAGGGAGCUUGCUCCUGGAUUCAGCGGCGGACGGGUGAGUAAUGCCUAGGAAUCUGCCUGGUAGUGGGGGAUAACGUCCGGAAACGGGCGCUAAUACCGCAUACGUCCUGAGGGAGAAAGUGGGGGAUCUUCGGACCUCACGCUAUCAGAUGAGCCUAGGUCGGAUUAGCUAGUUGGUGGGGUAAAGGCCUACCAAGGCGACGAUCCGUAACUGGUCUGAGAGGAUGAUCAGUCACACUGGAACUGAGACACGGUCCAGACUCCUACGGGAGGCAGCAGUGGGGAAUAUUGGACAAUGGGCGAAAGCCUGAUCCAGCCAUGCCGCGUGUGUGAAGAAGGUCUUCGGAUUGUAAAGCACUUUAAGUUGGGAGGAAGGGCAGUAAGUUAAUACCUUGCUGUUUUGACGUUACCAACAGAAUAAGCACCGGCUAACUUCGUGCCAGCAGCCGCGGUAAUACGAAGGUGCAAGCGUUAAUCGGAAUUACUGGGCGUAAAGCGCGCGU